Long non-coding RNA from Magnolia sinica, 921 nucleotides. RefSeq lists it as uncharacterized. Lineage: Eukaryota; Viridiplantae; Streptophyta; Magnoliopsida; Magnoliales; Magnoliaceae. The record is from RefSeq and is a predicted model, not a curated record. The transcript has 3 exons.
AAGAAAAUGGCCCUUAGCCGACUGAUGGGCCAACACUUUGCCAGCGGCUAGUUUAAAUGGCUGCUGGCAGGGUCCCUAUGUAUAAAAGAAAAAAAGCCCUAACCUAAUUCCCUCUCUCAAGUGGCGCCGCACAACCCUCUCUCUCUUACUCUCCCUCCCUCUCUCUGCCUCUCCUCUCCCUCUCGUGCGCUCUCCCUCUCUCUGCUGCUCCCUCUCCCUCUCUCUAACCCUCUCUCUCUUACUCUCCCUCCCUCUCUUUGCCACUCCUCUCCCUCUUGUGCGCUCUCCCUCUCUCUGUCGCUCCCUCUCCGACACUCUCCCUCUUGCACGGUCUUCCUCUCCCUCACCCUCUCCGCUCUCUCUCUCUCUCUCUCUCUCUCUCUCUCUCUCUCUCUCUCUCUCUCUCUCUCCUCGGCCCUCCACUGCAACAUCAGGUAUCUCUCUCCGCUUGAUCUACCGCACAUCAAGGAGCAUUCUGUUGCAACAUCAGGGUUUUGACAACCGAUUUGGAGGUUUUGGUGUUAACUACAAUAUUCCCUGGUAGCCCUUUGUUGAUGGACUAGCCAGUGUAUCUAGUAGAGAUAGGUUUUGGCAUAUACUUUCCUUUUCAUUGAGUAUUAGGUCCUUUAUCUUAUUCUUUAAUGGACGUUCCUCUCUUUUCACCAACAGUAAUUUGGUGGCUAGCUUUCCAUAUACAGAAAGAGAUCGGGUUGUAGAAUGCUUUAGAGCGAACUACCCCUAUUCUGGGAAAGCAAAGAGUAAGUAUAAAGAUCAAGAACUGUGGCUUUUGUCUGUCGAAAUUAUAUAGCCAUGUAAUUUUUACUCAUGGUAUCUGAGGAAAUUUCUUUAUGUUUUGACUCUACAUGAAAAUAAAUUUGAAUUCCAUGCAUUUGCAGACUAUGAAUAAUUCAUAAAUUGUGG